Molecule: ribosomal RNA, 460 nt
Filed under: uncultured bacterium
Lineage: Bacteria
Description: partial 16S ribosomal RNA
Rfam family: Bacterial small subunit ribosomal RNA
Source: RNAcentral
CCUACGGGAGGCUGCAGUGAGGAAUAUUGGUCAAUGGCCGUAAGGCUGAACCAGCCAAGUAGCGUGAGGGAAGACUGCCCUAUGGGUUGUAAACCUCUUUUAUGCGGGGAUAAAGGUGUCCACGUGUGGAUGUUUGCAGGUACCGCAUGAAUAAGGACCGGCUAAUUCCGUGCCAGCAGCCGCGGUAAUACGGAAGGUCCGGGCGUUAUCCGGAUUUAUUGGGUUUAAAGGGAGCGUAGGCCGGUCUUUAAGCGUGCCGUGAAAUUUUGUGGCUCAACCAUGGGAGUGCGGCGCGUACUGGAGACCUUGAGUGCGCGGAAGGCAGGCGGAAUUCGUGGUGUAGCGGUGAAAUGCUUAGAUAUCACGAAGAACCCCGAUUGCGAAGGCAGCCUGCCGCAGCGUUACUGACGCUGAAGCUCGAAAGCGCGGGUAGCGAACAGGAUUACAUACCCUUGUAGUC